UGCAAGUCGAGCGGACCGAAGGGAGCUUGCUCCUUUAGGUUAGCGGCGGACGGGUGAGUAACACGUGGGCAACCUGCCCUGCAGACUGGGAUAACUUCGGGAAACCGGAGCUAAUACCGGAUAACACCGAAAACCGCAUGGUUUUCGGUUGAAAGGCGGCUUUUACCUGUCACUGCAGGAUGGGCCCGCGGCGCAUUAGCUAUUUGGUGAGGUAACGGCUCACCAAGGCGACAAUGCGUACCCAACCUGAAAGGGUGACCGGCCACACUGGGACUGAAACCCGGCCCAAACUCCUACGGGAGGCA
This 305-nucleotide ribosomal RNA is filed under the name Aeribacillus pallidus. Its description in RNAcentral is "bacterial SSU rRNA". It matches the Rfam family "Bacterial small subunit ribosomal RNA", at positions 56 to 350 of the family's 1533-position model. The record is from RNAcentral. Lineage: Bacteria; Bacillati; Bacillota; Bacilli; Caryophanales; Bacillaceae.